AUAAUGCUGACUAAAAGGAAAAUUCAGUUUAGGGUUUAAAACCCUAAUGCUGACUAAAAAAGAAAAUUCAGUUUAGGGUUUAAAACCCUAAUGCUGAUUGCAUGAAAAAGCUCAGUUUAGAGUUUUAAAAACUCUAAUGCUAGCUGAAAGGAAAGGGUUCAGUUUAGGGUUUAAAACCCUAAUGCUGACUAGAAGGAAAAAGUUCAGUUUAGGGUUUAAAACCCUAAUGCUGACCAAAAGGAAAAUUCAGUUUAGGGUUUAAAACCCUAAUGCUGACUAAAAGGAAAAUUCAGUUUAGGGUUUAAAACCCUAAUGCUGACUAAAAGGAAAAUUCAGUUUAGGGUUUAAAACCCUAAUGCUGAUUGCAUGAAAAAGCUCAGUUUAGAGUUUAAAACUCUAAUGCUGGCUGAAAGGAAAAUUCAGUUUAGGGUUUAAAACCCUAAUGCUGAUUGCAUGAAAAAGCUCAGUUUAGAGUUUAAAACUCUAAUGCUGGCUGAAAGGAAAAUUCAGUUUAGGGUUUAAAACCCUAAUGCUGAUGGCAUGGAAAAGCUCAGUUUAGAGUUUAAAACUCUAAUGCUGGCUGAAAGGAAAAUUCAGUUUAGGGUUUAAAACCCUAAUGCUGAUUGCAUGGAAAAGCUCAGUUUAGAGUUUAAAACUCUAAUGCUGGCUGAAAGGAAAAUUCAGUUUAGGGUUUAAAACCCUAAUGCUGAUGGCAUGGAAAAGCUCAGUUUAGAGUUUAAAACUCUAAUGCUGGCUGAAAGGAAGAGUUCAGUUUAGGG
This 779-nucleotide long non-coding RNA is filed under the name Nicotiana tabacum (common tobacco). RNAcentral describes it as "long non-coding RNA (NTAB_LNC005541)". Lineage: Eukaryota; Viridiplantae; Streptophyta; Magnoliopsida; Solanales; Solanaceae. The record is from RNAcentral.